RNAcentral lists this long non-coding RNA (2447 nucleotides) under Salmo salar (Atlantic salmon). Its description in RNAcentral is "lncRNA (ENSSSAG00000082742.1)". The record is from RNAcentral. Lineage: Eukaryota; Metazoa; Chordata; Actinopteri; Salmoniformes; Salmonidae.
CCCCUUCUUCCCCUUAAUUCUGAAUAGUUCAAUAAGUCCAUUUCCAAAUGUUGGAAUGGACAUUCUACAAAAAAUGUUUUUGUUCUAGUAGCAUCCUAUCCUGUUCUAUCGCCUGCUCUACCAUACUCCCCCUAUUUAUACAUGGCUCAAGCCAUGUAUCAAUUUUGCUGCAUUUCUUAACAAUGUCUUUUGUAAGGUUAGUAAAUUAUCCUUAUGUCAGCCCUUCUCUUGUAGGAUUGCCCCCUUUCAUAUACCACAUGUCCAAUUCUCCCUGGGGCAUUCAUCCUUAGCUACCCUGUGCAUUUCUCUAUCAAGUGUCCUAUCUUCUUUAAGAUUGAACAACUUCUUUCAACUAAAUUAUCAUAUCUUUUCCUAGCGAAUUUUACCAAACAUAACUUAAAAUCAUAACUAUAAUACAUGCCUAUGGAGCCGAUAGGAUAUUAAUACAUGGAGAGACUAACUAAAUGAACCUAACAUCUUCUAUUCUUAUGUCUUUUCUGUCUCUCCAGUGUUAUUUCUGUCCUCACCUGUUUAUAAUUUAACUAUGCUGGUCUCCACUCACUAACCGUUAUCUAAUUCUUCUAUGUUACUUUUAUCUUCUCUUCCUUGUUUAUGCUCUCCUCCUUCUUCUUCCAACCCAUCAAGGUCUCAGCAGUGCAGGGGAGUACUAAAUGUCUCAUGGUCUUAUUACAUAGCUACUUACAUUUAUCUCGAUACCCUCAAUAAUCCUGGAUUCCCUACAGAUGUCAUAUAUUCCUGUCCUGUUGGCUUAAGUCUACCAUUAUUAACCUGUUUUAUCAACAAAAUAUAAUAUUACUAUUAUAUUAAUUCCACAGUCUUGUUGUGUUAAAUCUCUUCCACUAAAUACAACCACAGCUGACUUCCUAAGGGAAAAUAAACUUAUCUAGAUAAUGUAAAAAGUACCUCUACUUAUCAAACGAUAUUCACGUAACAUAAUCAGAUCAAAAUGACUAAUCUGAACUACUCCCCAAAGAAAAAUUAUUGUACCCUUUUCGUCAUUUUGUCUUCUCAUUGGUUCAAAUGAUCAAUUGUGUCUAAGAACUUUAACUCCAUCAUAAUUAUCAGUUCUCCUAGCUUCCUUAAAGUUAGUAUCCCAAAUGACCUUAAAUUCACCAUCCAAUGGCUUUUCAUUGCGGCUGAUCAGACCACAAAAGGAAAAGUCACCAGUGGGGUCAAAAAAGUCAUAACCCCUUUUCAGAACCGUUUUUUCUUUCUUACUACAUUAGACAAAUGAAAGCUAAUAACCUUAUCUACAUUUCGUAUCUCAAGUUCCUAGAACAUUCCCUAUCAAAAGAAUUUCACGUGUUAAAUUAAAACUCAGAAAAUAAAACUUUAAAAUGCCAUGUGUGUCUACCCCUUUAAGAUAUCCUGUCCCUAGGAAUUUUUCCCCAAAGAGCUAAGCGCUCCAUAUUCCAUAAAAUAACCACUUGGUCAGCAUUUCCUCAUACUACACCGAUUCAGAAACCCAAAAGUUAACUACAAACAAAACCUAAAAAUGCUUAUACUUCCAUUGUACUCCCCCCAAUCAUUAGUUUUAAACUUAAUUGAACAUGCGCUACCCUUGGAUACAAUACUGUACUUCAAUCUAUGAAACCCCAUAUUUUAACGUACUAUUUAACCAAUUUGACCCAAGAUUGCUUAAAACCCUAAAACCCUUUCAGUUUGUCUGCAAACCGGCACAUUCUGUUUGCUAGGAAUACCCUGCCAUUAUACACAACUGUGAUUAAUGUGCACCUUCCCAGUUAAUUAUAAAAUUAACUCCACCUGUAAUUCACCUUAAUGACUUGAUAUUUUUCCUUGCAAUGUUCAAUUCACUGGUGUUACUAAACAAUCAAUACCACGAAUCAAUAACCAGAAUUUAUCACAAAACAAAACGCGUUCUGCCUUUCCUCUAUCACAAGAUUAAAACCAAUAUUCCAACUGUAUCUCUCUUUCGGCUUCACACUUAUGAAAUGUCUAUGUCCUUAUAUGUACCAUGUAAAUCGCCAUACUUAUAAAAAUAACAUCAUUCAACUCUUUCUCUGUAUGCCAUUUCCAGCAACAGAGAACGUAUUAUAUCAAAAUUCUCUCGCUAUUAUUUUCUAAUUAGUUAGCCUUUCAAUUUAAACUAAUCAAGCUAUCAAAACGUUACAUUUAUAUCUUAAACAAACGCUAGCAACCGUAUCUCUCCAGGUUAAUUUUCUAUGCACCCGACUGUGUAUUGACGCUCCGGACUGAGAGUCACUUCAGUCCGCCCCAAUUUCACGGAAUGCACUAUUCCAAUGUAUCUGACUGUAUAUUAAUGUCUCCAACUAAACGCCACUUCAGCCGGACAGAAACUCACAGAUACGUUUUACCAAUCCCAGUUUACUAACUCUACUUGAGUAGUUAUACCGAUCCCAGUUUACUGACGCUACUCGGUUCUAAUCGUGAUCAAUCCCAGUUUU